UAAAAGACAGAGCUUAGACGAGACCAACUCCAGAUUCUCUUCUUCCAGUUCUUUACUCUCUUCUUCCAGUCUCUAUUUCUUCUUCCCUUUCUUCUUUACACUCUUCUUCUAGUCUCUAUUUCUUCUUUACUCUCUACAAUGUCCAUGGAAGAAGAAUUCAAAGAUUUUCAAGGAACAGAAGAAAAUGAAGUCCUCGAGCGCACCCGGUUCUUUUUUCCUUUCUUGUAUUGUUCUUAUGUUUUCUUGUGGAGUUAACCCAUUUUUUUUCCCUUUCUUGUCUUCUUUUUUGUUUUUCUGGUCUUGUUUCUUGAAAUCUUGGAAAAUCCACCAACGCGGUGCUUUUCCCUGCAACCGCACUCAAGGCCAAGAUUUAAAGGAAUAGAAGAAAAUCAGGCGUUGAAAUCUGUGGAAGGGGUUGGGGUCGAGUUUCAAGAAAAUGAUCCGUUGCAUGCGCAACCCUUGCGGUUUUCAGCACUUCGUUUCUUUAAGUUGGAGUUUAGAGAGGUAUUGUAUUUUUAUCCAAUUUCUUGAAUUAGGUUUGAUACUUGAUAUAGUAUAGGAAAUAAGUGAAUCUUGGAGCACUACGAAUUGAUUACUGAACAUGCGAACUCUUCCUGUCACAUGGUAUCUUGGUCUGAUGAAUGUCCCGGUUCUUUUUUUUUUUUUUUUGGUUCUUUUCUUGUAUGAACCGAUUCUUUUUUCCCUUUCUUGUUUUUUUUUUCUUUCUGUUUUGCUUCUUGAGGACACGUUGAAAGUCCACUAGUGCAGUUCUUUUGCCUACCAGACUGAUGUGGUGCUCAUUUUGGCUGGAUCUUCAAGCAUUCUGGAGCAUCUCUUAUCUUGGAGUUAUGCAUUAAGAUUCCACCAUUGUUAGGCUUCGUGUUGCUUAUAUUCCCUGAUUCUUGGCAUUCAGAGAGAUAUUAUAUUUGGACCCAAUCUAUUGUUUUCAAUUUUGUUUUCUAGGGUUAGAUUCUUGAUAUAGUAGACUAGCAAAUAAGUGAAUUUUG
RNA transcript from Sesamum indicum (sesame), 1007 nucleotides. RefSeq lists it as uncharacterized. The record is from RefSeq and is a predicted model, not a curated record. Lineage: Eukaryota; Viridiplantae; Streptophyta; Magnoliopsida; Lamiales; Pedaliaceae.